GUAGAUUGACUAAAGAGUUAUAGUGUUGGCAAAGCAAAAAAUGACUAUAUAUAGCAUCUUAAAGACACAAAAUGUAGUAUUGAACGUUACAAAGUAGCAUCUCGUGUAAUAAGCAAGCAAGACAUUUUAACAUGUUGUGUUCGGAAGAAGGUAGGGGCAGGUGAUCACGUGGUGCAAACCCUUGCUGGCGAGUCAGGCAAUCAGGGUGAAGUGUGACACGGAGGCGAAUGUUUUUGAGGGCUGUCCACGAUGUAGUUUGUAGACGGCGAAGAGACCAUGGUGAUUCUCGGUGGUUGGUAAGGUUUGUAUUGGUUAAGACCUGGAUGUAUGUGAAAUAAUUUUUGUGCUCCAAUUUUUGUGAGAAGUAAUUCCAGAUGAUUAUGUUUCACACACGUAUAUGGACAGUUCUAUUUCCACUAUAGAGAUUUGUAUACAGCACAACUGCCAGGUUCUCUAUCGAUUGAUGCACUACUUUUAUAUUUAAUACUUUUUUCUGGGAAAUUACAAAAAUGAUCGGUUGAACGGCAUGCUAACGUGUGCCUGUAGGGAAGGUGUGAAUGGUUUGUGUUGUUCGUAUUAAUUAGAGUAGUCAUAACGCAUUAAGAUUGUAAUAUGAGUGUAGGUUCUGAGUUGGGUGUUGUCCCUAGCGCAUCCAAUCCAGUGGAUCUAUGUUGUGAUAAUAGUGGAGCCAUUGCGCAAGCAAUGGAGCAUAGGUACACCAAAGGUCUAAACACAUAGUAUAGCACUAUCAUCUCAUCCAUGAGAUAAUUGAUGAGAAAUUUGCAAGGUGCACAUGAAUUUGAAUGUUGGUAAUCCGUUGAUGAAGCC
RNAcentral lists this long non-coding RNA (828 nucleotides) under Setaria viridis. RNAcentral's name for it is "long non-coding RNA (SVIR_LNC010933)". The record is from RNAcentral. Lineage: Eukaryota; Viridiplantae; Streptophyta; Magnoliopsida; Poales; Poaceae.